RNAcentral lists this ribosomal RNA (208 nucleotides) under uncultured bacterium. Its description in RNAcentral is "partial 16S ribosomal RNA". It matches the Rfam family "Bacterial small subunit ribosomal RNA", at positions 568 to 774 of the family's 1533-position model. The record is from RNAcentral.
AGCGCAGACGGUUAUUUAAGCAAGAUGUGAAAGCCCCGGGCUCAACCUGGGAACUGCGUUUUGAACUGGGUAACUAGAGUGUGUCAGAGGGGGGUAGGAAUUCCACGUGUAGCAGUGAAACGCGUAGAGAUGUGGAGGAAUACCGAUGGCGAAGGCAGCCCCCUGGGAUAACACUGACGUUCAUGCUCGAAAGCGUGGGUAGCAAACA